AAACGAUUUGGGGUGGGCAGUCCUGGAGCCUCUCGCUGGCCUUACGGAGAGAGAGCUAGGGUGGAGGAGAGCCCUGGGGAGCAGGCAGAGGUGUUCCAGGUAAAGGAGAAGGAUCCCAUUAACAUGGCCUCACAAGAAAACCAGACUUCAGGGAGAGGAGAGCAGAAGGACAUUCUCUCUGGGACCCCUGAGCCCAUCUAACCUCCAGUCCGUCCAUCAACUGAUUACUGCUCAGUCACCUCAGACGAUGCCACUGGGAGCCAGAGAACUGCCUCGCUGAGCCCUGCCUGAAUGCCUGACUCAUAACUCAUGGUGUCAGUGAAAGUGAAUACCCAGCCACACCCAGCUUACAGGAGGAGCUAUGAAUAUUCAUGAAGACCAUCCUGAUGCAUGCGUAUUGAACCAUAGGUAUGUAACCUAUGACCUAUUCCACCCUGGGGAGGAGACUUAGCAUUUAAAUGUAUUACAAUUAGGCCCUAUAUGUGAAAAGAUCUUUUUAAGACCUGAAGGCAGCCUCUGUAAACUGGCCAGAACCAGUCUGUGGUGGCUGGUCUUCUUAUCUGGAGAAAGUUACUGAAAUCCAUUCUGUCCAAUCAAAGCUGUAGUUAUGGCUGAUGAAACAGCGGGCUCAGUUAGUCAUUGUCUAGCGGUGAGUUACAAAUUGCUUUAAUAUUGUUUAUCUCAUGGCCAGUGCUUGUUUUGCUGCUAGAGAAAAGGAAGAACCUUAUGGCAGUUAGAAAAUAGUUUAUUCUUUAAAGCAUAGGGAUGUGGGACUUAACCCUUGCCUGACAUGGCCUUGGGUCCUGUUUAUAAUGUGGCAUCUUAUUGCCACAGAGCCUUCUGUCAGUCUUAUGGCCUCUGUUUUAACAUGAAUGCUGGUCAGUUGUUGUGUGUAUACUGCAAGCAAAAGGGAGAGGGGAUAACGAGGCAUGUCUGACCUCCCAUCCCAUCAUGGCUGAGAACUCAGUUUUUAAGUUUUUUCUGGGGUCUUUUUGCCCAAGAGGGGGGUCUAUUCAGUU
This is a long non-coding RNA of Piliocolobus tephrosceles (Ugandan red Colobus), 1019 nucleotides long. RefSeq lists it as uncharacterized. NCBI's taxonomy places the organism in Eukaryota, Metazoa, Chordata, Mammalia, Primates, Cercopithecidae. The record is from RefSeq and is a predicted model, not a curated record. The transcript has 4 exons.